Molecule: non-coding RNA, 401 nt
Organism: Cherax quadricarinatus
Lineage: Eukaryota; Metazoa; Arthropoda; Malacostraca; Decapoda; Parastacidae
Source: RefSeq, a predicted model, not a curated record
AACCUGUCUACUGGUGGCAUGCCUGUACACACACUCGCAGAAUGUCUCUGUACUAGUCCAGUUGCUACCCAUACACUCGCUCACCACUCCCUGCUUCAUUACAAACACAAUGGGUGAGCAGAUAGCGUGGUGGACGAGGUGGGCGUGGCUGUGUGUAUUGGUUGGCGAGCGCUGUGUAGUGGGCGUCUGUGUACCCCAGGACGGAAAGACAGUUUUCUUCACGAAAGGUGACGCCGUUAUUACUCAGCUUCUGCCUCUUCACUAUGGAUCUCGCUGUGACCAGCUGGGCAUGACGGAGGUGCAGGUGCUGGAGGCGACGAAACUGGCAGUACACAGAGUCAACCAACUCACUCUCGUACCCGGAAUCAAACUAGGUCAGUGAUUUCUUUUUUUUUUUUUUU